UACGGAGGGGGCUAGCGUUGUUCGGAAUCAUUGGGCGUAAAGGGCGCGUAGGCGGCCGAUCAAGUCGGAGGUGAAAUCCCUCGGCUCAACUGAGGAAUUGCCUUCGAUACUGUUCGGCUUGAGUCCUGGAGAGGGUAGCGGAAUUCCCGGUGUAGCGGUGAAAUGCGCAGAGAUCGGGAGGAACACCCGUAGCGAAGGCGGCGCUCUGGGCCGGUACUGACGCUGAGGAGCGAAAGCGUGGGGAGCAAACAGG
Molecule: ribosomal RNA, 253 nt
Filed under: uncultured bacterium
Lineage: Bacteria
Description: partial 16S ribosomal RNA
Rfam family: Bacterial small subunit ribosomal RNA
Source: RNAcentral